CCAACGUGGACAACUGCUGGCAUGCCCCGGCGGCUUUGUCCGCAUGGCACCUGCAGAGCAGCCCAGCACACAGGUGUGGUGGUGAGGAAUUCUGGCCCAGGACGCUGGGGAUGAGCUGGUCCCCAGCCUCGGGACUGUUGCGGGCAUGUCCUGCGUAUUUCUCACCUUCUCAGUACCUGGUUGCUGAGGAGAAGAAACAUAACAUACGGGGCACAGUU
This 218-nucleotide small nucleolar RNA is filed under the name Propithecus coquereli (Coquerel's sifaka). RNAcentral's name for it is "Small nucleolar RNA SNORA73 family (ENSPCOG00000005850.1)". Lineage: Eukaryota; Metazoa; Chordata; Mammalia; Primates; Indriidae. The record is from RNAcentral.